CAUGUGAACCAAACGCCUUCCUCUGCUCCUGCUCCAUCUCCUUACCACCACGGCCACCACCACCCACAUCCUCCCCAUCACCACCACCCUCACCCUCACCCACCGGCAAAAGCCCCUGUCAAGCCGCCGGUUUCUCCACCUUCUAAACCUCCGGUUAAGCCUCCAGUUUACCCCCCAACCAAAUCCCCGGUUAAGCCCCCAACUAAACCUCCGGUUAAGCCACCAGUUUCCCCACCAGCAAAACCUCCUGUUAAACCUCCGGUUUACCCUCCGACCAAAGCUCCAGUUAAGCCCCCAGUCAAACCUCCGGUUAAGCCACCAGUUUCACCACCGGCCAAACCUCCAAUAAAGCCACCAGUUUCACCACCGGCCAAACCUCCGGUUAAGCCCCCGGUUUACCCUCCGACCAAAGCCCCUGUUAAGCCCCCGACCAAAGCCCCGGCUAAGCCUCCGGUCUCUCCUCCAGCCAAACCACCAGUAUCCCCUCCAGCUAAGCCACCGGUGAAGCCACCGGUUUACCCGCCAAAAUUCAACAGAAGCC
Molecule: long non-coding RNA, 541 nt
Filed under: Brassica napus (rape)
Lineage: Eukaryota; Viridiplantae; Streptophyta; Magnoliopsida; Brassicales; Brassicaceae
Description: long non-coding RNA (BNAP_LNC007658)
Source: RNAcentral